AUGAGAGCAGAGGGAGAGAGCGCAGGUGGCGCCGCCGAAGAAGAAAGCCACGUUGGUGAAACUUUCAGGCAAAAGGAUCUUUGCUUGACG
RNAcentral lists this non-coding RNA (90 nucleotides) under Schnuerera ultunensis. RNAcentral's name for it is "Clostridium ultunense Glycine sequence". It matches the Rfam family "Glycine riboswitch aptamer". From Rfam's summary of the family: This family represents the bacterial glycine riboswitch. Glycine riboswitches usually consist of two metabolite-binding aptamers domains with similar structures in tandem. RNAcentral also lists the same sequence under 1 other name. Lineage: Bacteria; Bacillati; Bacillota; Tissierellia; Tissierellales; Tepidimicrobiaceae. The record is from RNAcentral.